AAUAAGUGCAGUUUUGCACUAUUCAUGUCCAAUGUUUAAUCAUUCAUCUUAUUUGAAUUUUUUUAGAUUAGUAUUUUUUGUUGUUAUUAGAUGAUAAAACAUAAAUAGUACUUUAUGUGUGACUAUUUUUUAAAAAAAAUCACAAAUUUUUCAAAUAAGACGGGCAGUCAAACAUUUGACACGGAUAUCCACAACUGCCUUAUU
Oryza glaberrima (African rice) is the source of this 204-nucleotide non-coding RNA. Lineage: Eukaryota; Viridiplantae; Streptophyta; Magnoliopsida; Poales; Poaceae. The record is from Rfam.